GCUAAUGAGGUCUUUAACACCUGUACUCUGACCAGCAGCUGAGUCUAAGCAGAACCAGGUGGGGCAGCCAACAGCUUAGAGGUGGCCGAAGGGAGCUCGAAACCAGAAAGAGAAGCCCCUGUUCCUGGUCGUUGUUCAUUCCCCGGUGACUUGCUUUCGUCUGUGAGCACACAGUGGCCCAGGAACUAGACACAGCUCCGACUCUGUCAGUCGUCUCCUCCGAAGUCUGCAUCUGGACUGCGGCAGGUGGCGAGAGCACGAAAGAUAGGAUGCGGAAAGAGAAAAUACCCUUCCAGGACGCCCUCCUUGGAAUGCUUUGGCCUUGUCUUCCUUGUGUUCUUUCUUCUGAGAACUAAAGACGGCUCCUUGAAGUACCUCCAUGUCCUUUCUCCCCUAAAAUACUCCCUGCACUUGCCUCUCUUCUGCUCUCAGGUUCUAACAGAGCAAAUAGUGAUAACUAGACAAAUGGAACAUGAAAUAUCAACGUUUUAAUAGAGGUAACUAGCUGAAAACUAGAAAAGGCAAGACUUCAGGUAAAAUGGAUGAGAAAACGUGACUUAGAACCGAAGCCAAUGUGAGGCUUCCCAUCUUGAAUCUGCAUCUUGGAUUCUGUGUGGUAAGGUAGCCUAUAAAAAGGAUCUAGGCCUGCUCCUGCAGGGCAAUCUUAGAGGCUAAGGACCCACCUGGGCAUGGGUAGACCAGGAGGAGGGUGGCCCAUUUGAAGACCCUGCCACCUGAGAAUGUAGUCUGAUCAGUUUCAAACUCUGACCAAUCAGAUUAGCGACUCCUUCUGCACUGGAGAGCGUUAAGGAGGUCCCCAAGUGGGCAGACUGUGAGGGCCCUUUUAGGGGCCGUGGCAGAAAGGUGAGAGGUGAAGGGCGGAGGAAAGUGGCUUUCCUUUCUCCUUAUCUCCUCGUCCCAGCAAAAAUGGAAACCCAUUUGAGAGUCCCCCAUGACUAUUCUUCAGCCCAAGUGGUUAAAAAUUUCCUGAACCAAAUCCUCCUUUCUAUAAAAAUAUAAAUGUCACAAAUUGUACCUUUAUAACAAACAUAUAAUUGAAACUUCUCACACUUCUUUCAGCUCCAAAUCCAGCUUCUGUAGAAACCUGCAGUGUAUUCUACCUCUCAUCUGUCAAAAAUAGGAAAGGAUCUCAUGCUAUGGUUGCAUUUGGUAAGAGCUGUGCUUGUGAGCACAAUCAAAGCUUAAAAUUAGAAUGGCCACUAUUUGCUUUUCCUAAAUGGAGUGUAAUAGGUUACAAUUCUUUGGAUUAUUGGAAUUUUAAUUAGGAAUUCCAGACAUUAUAGUAAAUUAAUAGCUCAUGAUUAAGUUUCCAUUGGCAAUUAAUGCCAGGUUUUAAAUAAGUGUUUGUUACUUACAUUUCAUGUUAUGUUUACAUUUAUUAAGUAGUCAAAUAUUUCUGUUGAUUGCACAGUGUUCCUAUGAAUAGUCACAAGCAUCCUGAUUAAUUAUAAAGCACUACUCUGGCAAAGAUGUCUUGUUGUGAGACUGUGUAGAUACACAUGUUCACAGUGUAAGUUUGCAAUGCCUGUCUUGACUAACAUUUGCAUGUUGUGUGUGCUGGAAAAGCAAGUGCAGAUAGAGAUGGUGUCCCGUGCACUCUAACUGAACAGAGGUGGCAUCCACCUUUGCUUGAACCGGAUUGAUGAACUCACAGGAAACUGAUUAGCUAGAACUGGGGGAAAUUUGUUUCUAGUUUUUCUUGGAAUUUGGUCCAUGAAAAUAGUUUUUGGAAUUCGCAGGAAAACAAAUUUAUAUAAAAAUAGAUGUCUUUUUUUUAACUGAAAGAACGAGGGAACUUCUUAAUGCCUAAUGUUCAAAAAGCAUAAACCGAAAAAAAAGAUGUUCUUCUGCUUCCACACUGAGUUAAUUAAUUUCAGCUGUGUUUUGAGGUGGGCCCUCAAGGGAAUUAUGAU
RNAcentral lists this long non-coding RNA (1934 nucleotides) under Equus caballus (horse). RNAcentral's name for it is "lncRNA (ENSECAG00000041165.2)". The record is from RNAcentral. Lineage: Eukaryota; Metazoa; Chordata; Mammalia; Perissodactyla; Equidae.